GUCUACGGCCAUGCCACCCUGAACAAGACCUAUCCCGUCUGAUCUCAGAAGCUAAGCAGGGCCGGGCCUGGUUAGUACUUGGAUGGGAGACCACCUAGGAAGGUGCUGUGCUGUUGAUG
Molecule: ribosomal RNA, 119 nt
Filed under: Pteropus alecto (black flying fox)
Lineage: Eukaryota; Metazoa; Chordata; Mammalia; Chiroptera; Pteropodidae
Source: RNAcentral